This 248-nucleotide ribosomal RNA is filed under the name uncultured bacterium. RNAcentral's name for it is "partial 16S ribosomal RNA". It matches the Rfam family "Bacterial small subunit ribosomal RNA", at positions 355 to 594 of the family's 1533-position model. The record is from RNAcentral.
UCGAGAAUCAUUCGCAAUGGGCGAAAGCCUGACGGUGCGACGUCGCGUGGAGGAUGAAGGUCUUCGGAUUGUAAACUCCUGUCAUGUGGGAUAAAUGGCCCGGAGUCGAACAGACUCUGGGAAUGAUAGUACCACAGGAGGAAGGGACGGCUAACUCUGUGCCAGCAGCCGCGGUAAUUCAGAGGUCCCGAGCGUUGUUCGGAUUUACUGGGCGUAAAGGGAGCGUAGGCGGUUUGGUGUGUCGAAUG